GUGCUGGCUUCAGCAGCAUGUAUACUAAAAUUGGAACAAUAUAGAAAAGAUUAGCAUGGCCCCUGUGCAAGUAUAACAUGCAAAUUCAUGAAACAUUCCAUAUUUUU
RNAcentral lists this small nuclear RNA (107 nucleotides) under Mus caroli (Ryukyu mouse). The record is from RNAcentral. Lineage: Eukaryota; Metazoa; Chordata; Mammalia; Rodentia; Muridae.